UUCUUUUACCAAUUCAAACUAAAAUUACUAAGAGAGAAUGACCUGCACCAAACUUUAUACGAAUGGGUUUGUUUUUAAUCGUGUUGUGAGGAAUUUGAUCUGAAAAGGGUCGUUCUUCAAUGGAUUUUAGGUAUUCGGAUCUGUGGUAGCUGACAGAGGGACAAAGUCCGAUGAAAAAUUCACUGGAAACACCCAAGAAUAACCAGUUUUGACUCCCUUCUUUCCCCAAUUUUGAU
RNAcentral lists this long non-coding RNA (236 nucleotides) under Capsicum annuum. RNAcentral's name for it is "long non-coding RNA (CANN_LNC017440)". The record is from RNAcentral. Lineage: Eukaryota; Viridiplantae; Streptophyta; Magnoliopsida; Solanales; Solanaceae.